RNAcentral lists this long non-coding RNA (313 nucleotides) under Mytilus galloprovincialis (Mediterranean mussel). Lineage: Eukaryota; Metazoa; Mollusca; Bivalvia; Mytilida; Mytilidae. The record is from RNAcentral.
GCGAGUUGGAACAGUCACAUGUCAGAGGUUUAUUUAGGUAUUGUUCUAAAUCAAGGUCCUGUAAUGCUUGUUUAUAGUUAAAUAUUUUGGGUGCAAUGGUUUUGGUGUAACUGUAGGAUACAAUAGGAACAGACUGAUUUUGAAAAUAAAUAGGAAUUUUAGAUGUUACCUCCUUGUGAUGUAGAACGUUGCUGAUGUUGAUUGCAUCAAUUCCUCUAUUGUUAAAGUGAACAGGAAGGAAUUUCCUCUUUUCCUCAUGUAAAGGUUCCGAUCUUACUGGUUUAAAGAGACGGAAAAGAGCUACAUCACAAAU